AGCCUGAUCCAGCCAUGCCGCGUGUGUGAAGAAGGUCUUCGGAUUGUAAAGCACUUUAAGUUGGGAGGAAGGGCAUUAACCUAAUACGUUAGUGUUUUGACGUUACCGACAGAAUAAGCACCGGCUAACUCUGUGCCAGCAGCCGCGGUAAUACGA
This 156-nucleotide ribosomal RNA is filed under the name uncultured Pseudomonas sp. RNAcentral's name for it is "partial 16S ribosomal RNA". It matches the Rfam family "Bacterial small subunit ribosomal RNA", at positions 380 to 528 of the family's 1533-position model. Lineage: Bacteria; Pseudomonadati; Pseudomonadota; Gammaproteobacteria; Pseudomonadales; Pseudomonadaceae. The record is from RNAcentral.